RNAcentral lists this ribosomal RNA (197 nucleotides) under uncultured bacterium. Its description in RNAcentral is "partial 16S ribosomal RNA". It matches the Rfam family "Bacterial small subunit ribosomal RNA", at positions 328 to 539 of the family's 1533-position model. The record is from RNAcentral.
ACGCUCGACACCUACGGGGGCAGCAGUGGGGAAUAUUGCACAAUGGGGGAAACCCUGAUGCAGCGACGCCGCGUGAGCGAAGAAGUAUUUCGGUAUGUAAAGCUCUAUCAGCAGGGAAGAAAAUGACGGUACCUGACUAAGAAGCACCGGCUAAAUACGUGCCAGCAGCCGCGGUAAUCUGAGCGGGCUGGCAAGGC